RNAcentral lists this ribosomal RNA (503 nucleotides) under Helicobacter pylori. RNAcentral's name for it is "bacterial LSU rRNA". It matches the Rfam family "Bacterial large subunit ribosomal RNA", at positions 1783 to 2284 of the family's 2925-position model. The record is from RNAcentral. Lineage: Bacteria; Pseudomonadati; Campylobacterota; Epsilonproteobacteria; Campylobacterales; Helicobacteraceae.
AAAGAGUCCCUCCCGACUGUUUACCAAAAACACAGCACUUUGCCAACUCGUAAGAGGAAGUAUAAGGUGUGACGCCUGCCCGGUGCUCGAAGGUUAAGAGGAUGUGUCAGUCGCAAGAUGAAGCGUUGAAUUGAAGCCCGAGUAAACGGCGGCCGUAACUAUAACGGUCCUAAGGUAGCGAAAUUCCUUGUCGGUUAAAUACCGACCUGCAUGAAUGGCGUAACGAGAUGGGAGCUGUCUCAACCAGAGAUUCAGUGAAAUUGUAGUGGAGGUGAAAAUUCCUCCUACCCGCGGCAAGACGGAAAGACCCCGUGGACCUUUACUACAACUUAGCACUGCUAAUGGGAAUAUCAUGCGCAGGAUAGGUGGGAGACUUUGAAGUAAGGGCUUUGGCUCUUAUGGAGCCAUCCUUGAGAUACCACCCUUGAUGUUUCUGUUAGCUAACUGGCCUGUGUUAUCCACAGGCAGGACAAUGCUUGGUGGGUAGUUUGACUGGGGCGGUC